CGUAGGGUGCGAGCGUUAAUCGGAAUUACUGGGCGUAAAGCGUGCGCAGGCGGUUUUGUAAGACAGGCGUGAAAUCCCCGGGCUCAACCUGGGAACUGCGCUUGUGACUGCAAGGCUAGAGUACGGCAGAGGGGGGUGGAAUUCCACGUGUAGCAGUGAAAUGCGUAGAGAUGUGGAGGAACACCAAUGGCGAAGGCAGCCCCCUGGGUCGAUACUGACGCUCAUGCACGAAAGCGUGGGUAGCAAACAGGAUUAGAUACCCUGGUAGUCCACGCCCUAAACGAUGUCAACUAGGUGUUGGGAGGGUAAAACCUUUUAGUACCGGAGCUAACGCGUGAAGUUGACCGCCUGGGGAGUACGGCCGCAAGGUUA
Molecule: ribosomal RNA, 372 nt
Filed under: uncultured organism
Description: bacterial SSU rRNA
Rfam family: Bacterial small subunit ribosomal RNA
Source: RNAcentral